RNAcentral lists this ribosomal RNA (253 nucleotides) under uncultured bacterium. RNAcentral's name for it is "partial 16S ribosomal RNA". It matches the Rfam family "Bacterial small subunit ribosomal RNA", at positions 524 to 776 of the family's 1533-position model. The record is from RNAcentral.
UACGAAGGGUGCAAGCGUUACUCGGAAUUACUGGGCGUAAAGCGUGCGUAGGUGGUUCGUUAAGUCUGAUGUGAAAGCCCUGGGCUCAACCUGGGAAUGGCAUUGGAAACUGGCGACCUAGAGUGCGGUAGGGGCAGAGGGAAUUUCCGGUGGAGCGGUGAAAUGCGUAGAGAUCGGGAGGAACAUCUGUGGCGAAGGCGGCCAUCUGGACCAGCACUGACACUGAGGCACGAAAGCGUGGGGAGCAAACAGG